RNAcentral lists this ribosomal RNA (173 nucleotides) under Mycobacterium avium. RNAcentral's name for it is "partial 16S ribosomal RNA". It matches the Rfam family "Bacterial small subunit ribosomal RNA", at positions 60 to 235 of the family's 1533-position model. Lineage: Bacteria; Bacillati; Actinomycetota; Actinomycetes; Mycobacteriales; Mycobacteriaceae. The record is from RNAcentral.
AGUCGAACGGAAAGGCNUCUUCGGAGGUACUCGAGUGGCGAACGGGUGAGUAACACGUGGGCAAUCUGCCCUGCACUUCGGGAUAAGCCUGGGAAACUGGGUCUAAUACCGGAUAGGACCUCAAGACGCAUGUCUUCUGGUGGAAAGCUUUUGCGGUGUGGGAUGGGCCCGCG